RNAcentral lists this unclassified non-coding RNA (358 nucleotides) under soil metagenome. RNAcentral's name for it is "partial contains 5.8S ribosomal RNA, internal transcribed spacer 2, and large subunit ribosomal RNA". The stretch from base 1 to 120 matches the Rfam family "5.8S ribosomal RNA", at positions 35 to 154 of the family's 154-position model. The record is from RNAcentral.
GAUGAAGAACGCAGCGAAAUGCGAUAAGUAAUGUGAAUUGCAGAAUUCAGUGAAUCAUCGAAUCUUUGAACGCACAUUGCGCCCGUCAGUAUUCUGGCGGGCAUGCCUGUUCGAGCGUCAUUACGCCCCUCAAGUCCCCUGUGGACUUGGUGUUGGGGAUCGGCGAGGCUGGUUUUCCAGCACAGCCGUCCCUUAAAUUAAUUGGCGGCCUCGCCGUGGCCCUCCUCUGCGCAGUAGUAAAACACUCGCAACAGGAGCCCGGCGCGGUCCACUGCCGUAAAACCCCCCAACUUUUUAUAGUUGACCUCGAAUCAGGUAGGACUACCCGCUGAACUUAAGCAUAUCAAUAAGCGGAGGA